UUACGGAAGGCAGCAGUAAGGAAUAUUGGUCAAUGGAGGCAACUCUGAACCAGCCAUGCCGCGUGCAGGAAGACAGCCCUCUGGGUCGUAAACUGCUUUUAUUCGGGAAUAAACCUACUUACGUGUAAGUAGCUGAAUGUACCGAAGGAAUAAGGAUCGGCUAACUCCGUGCCAGCAGCCGCGGUAAUACGGAGGAUCCAAGCGUUAUCUGGAUUUAUUGGGUUUAAAGGGUGCGUAGGCGGCUUAUUAAGUCAGGGGUGAAAGACGGUGGCUCAACCAUCGCAGUGCCCUUGAUACUGAUGAGCUUGAAUACACUAGAGGUAGGCGGAAUGUGACAAGUAGCGGUGAAAUGCAUAGAUAUGUCACAGGACACCGAUUGCGAAGGCAGCUUACUAUGGUGUGAUUGACGCUGAGGCACGAAAGCGUGGGGAUCAAACAGGAUUAGAUACCCGCGUAA
Molecule: ribosomal RNA, 457 nt
Filed under: uncultured bacterium
Lineage: Bacteria
Description: bacterial SSU rRNA
Rfam family: Bacterial small subunit ribosomal RNA
Source: RNAcentral